RNAcentral lists this long non-coding RNA (1058 nucleotides) under Daphnia magna. RNAcentral's name for it is "uncharacterized LOC123471220, transcript variant X5". Lineage: Eukaryota; Metazoa; Arthropoda; Branchiopoda; Diplostraca; Daphniidae. The record is from RNAcentral.
AUAAUUUAUCAAUAGAUGGCUACACUGUUUAGUGUUUAGUGGAUCGUCUGCAGUAGAAAUUCAUCGUUCAUCAGAUGUCAGGAUGUGGCCUAGUUGUUAGGGAUUCGAGGCGUGUUCAGCGAGGGGAUCAUUUUCAGUGCGUUCCGUUUUAAAAAUUCUUUUGGCUACUGGUUGGAAUAGACUAAAAUUUGUUAUGACGUCACUGAAAUAACCAUUCGUCUGAAGUGCGCCACCGCCAUUGUCAACACGAAUCAUCUUCUGAUACGUUGUCCGGUUUUAAAAAAUCUUCUUGUUUUAUUACUUUAAUGUAUUUUUGUAAUUCCUUGGCCCUUGACACUAUCUAACCAACAAAGAAACCGCCUUUUUCACGUUACUCUUACCAAUUUUUACAUACUCGUACAUUAGUUGGUUAUAGAAAACAUCUUGCCAUUAACACGAAUAUCUUUGUCUGAUCUGAUCGUGUCAACAUGCUAAUCCAAUCUUGCCACUGGCCGAAGCCUUUUUUUCAAAUUUUGCAUCCUUCCAUUUAAAGAUAUCUAAUACAAGCAUUCUGGCAUGUGUCAGGCAAUAGGGUACAGGAAUCGCAUGGUCCCUUUUAGGUGUCGGGCCUGGCCCACACCCUCUGUAAUUGAAACUGUAUUGGUAAAAGUAAUUACAUGGAGGUAGAGUGUCAAUUUGGGACUUGAUUUGUCAUCUGUUGGUCAAGGUGGAAAAACAGGGAUUGGAUCAACAAUUUUAUUCCCACACUCACCUUUGGAAUUCUUGGAUCGUAGCUGUUGUUGCAGGACACUCUCCUUGUUUGGGACUUGAUUUGUUACCAUUUGUCGAUUUGGAAAAACAGGGAUUGGACCAACCAUUUUAUUCCCACACUUAUCAUUGGAAUUCUGGUAUGGUAGCUGUUGUUGCAGGACACUUCUUGGUUUGUUAGUGAGGUUCCAGAAAGCAGCAUUCCAAGAGCAAGAAUCUAGUUUACAGGCUAUUAACACAAUCUAUAAUGUUUAACUUUGUUUUCCUGCCUUGAUGGUGAAAUUGAAUUAUAUUGGAAUUUAAAAAUUUGA